RNAcentral lists this ribosomal RNA (926 nucleotides) under Cyanosporus caesius. RNAcentral's name for it is "eukaryotic LSU rRNA". It matches the Rfam family "Eukaryotic large subunit ribosomal RNA", at positions 1 to 914 of the family's 3401-position model. Lineage: Eukaryota; Fungi; Basidiomycota; Agaricomycetes; Polyporales; Postiaceae. The record is from RNAcentral.
CUGACCUCAAAUCAGGUAGGAUUACCCGCUGAACUUAAGCAUAUCAAUAAGCGGAGGAAAAGAAACUAACAAGGAUUCCCCUAGUAACUGCGAGUGAAGCGGGAUAAGCUCAAAUUUAAAAUCUGGUAGCCUCGCUGCCCGAGUUGUAAUCUGGAGAAGUGCUUUCCGUGCUGGACCGUGUACAAGUCUCUUGGAACAGAGCGUCAUAGAGGGUGAGAAUCCCGUCUUUGACACGGACUACCAGUGCUUUGUGAUGCGCUCUCAAAGAGUCGAGUUGUUUGGGAAUGCAGCUCAAAAUGGGUGGUAAAUYCCAUCUAAAGCUAAAUAUUGGCGAGAGACCGAUAGCGAACAAGUACCGUGAGGGAAAGAUGAAAAGAACUUUGGAAAGAGAGUUAAACAGUACGUGAAAUUGCUGAAAGGGAAACGCUUGAAGUCAGUCGCGUUGGCCGGAACUCAGCCUGGCUUUGGCUUGGUGCAUUUUCUGGUCGACGGGUCAGCAUCAGUUUUGAUCGUCGGAUAAUGGUUGGGGGAAUGUGGCAUCUUCGGAUGUGUUAUAGCCCUCAGUCGCAUACGAUGGUUGGGACUGAGGAUCUCAGCACACCUUUAUGGUCGGGGUUCGCCCACGUUUGUGCUUAGGAUGCUGGCAUAAUGGCUUUAAACGACCCGUCUUGAAACACGGACCAAGGAGUCUAACAUGCGUGCGAGUGUUUGGGUGGAAAACCCGAGCGCGUAAUGAAAGUGAAAGUUGAGAUCCCUGUCGUGGGGAGCAUCGACGCCCGGACCAGACCUUCUGUGACGGCUCUGCGGUGGAGCAUGUAUGUUGGGACCCGAAAGAUGGUGAACUAUGCCUGAAUAGGGUGAAGCCAGAGGAAACUCUGGUGGAGGCUCGUAGCGAUUCUGACGUGCAAAUCGAUCGUCAAAUUUGG